RNAcentral lists this ribosomal RNA (515 nucleotides) under uncultured bacterium. Its description in RNAcentral is "bacterial SSU rRNA". It matches the Rfam family "Bacterial small subunit ribosomal RNA", at positions 8 to 526 of the family's 1533-position model. The record is from RNAcentral.
AGAGUUUGAUCCUGGCUCAGGAUGAACGCUGGCGGCGUGCCUCAUGCAUGCAAGUCGAACGGGAACACUUUUAGUAGCAAUACUGAGGGUGUUCUAGUGGCGAUCGGGUGAGUAACACGUAGGUGACCUGCCCCGAAGAGGGGGAUAACGGUCCGAAAGGACUGCUAAUACCCCAUGUGGUUGAUGAUUCAUUUCGUCAAUUAAAGUUUCCGCAAGGAGUAUGCUUCGGGAGGGGCCUGCGGCGGAUUAGAUAGUUGGUGGGGUAAUGGCCUACCAAGUCGAUGAUCCGUAGCUAGUCUGAGAGGACGAUUAGCCACACUGGCACUGACACACGGGCCAGACUCCUACGGGAGGCAGCAGCAGGGAAUAUUGCACAAUGGGCGAAAGCCUGAUGCAGCAACGCCGCGUGAGGGAUGAAGGUCUUCGGAUUGUAAACCUCUUUUACAGGGGACGAGUAAGGACGGUACCCUGUGAAUAAGCAACGGCUAACUACGUGCCAGCCGCCGCGGUAAUAC